This 1350-nucleotide ribosomal RNA is filed under the name metagenome. Its description in RNAcentral is "bacterial LSU rRNA". It matches the Rfam family "Bacterial large subunit ribosomal RNA", at positions 1564 to 2925 of the family's 2925-position model. The record is from RNAcentral.
UGAGUACGAGAUGCUACGGCGUCGAAGCAGUCUAUGUCAUACUUCCAAGAAAAGCUUGCAAUGUCAUAAACAAAUAAUGCCUGUACCAUAACCGACACAGGUGGGUAGGUAGAGUAUACUAAGGGGCGCGAGAUAACUCUCUCUAAGGAACUCGGCAAAAUGACUCCGUAACUUCGGGAGAAGGAGUGCCUUAUUUUUAUAAGGUUGCAAUAACAAGCUCCAAGCAACUGUUUACCAAAAACACAGGUCUCCGCUAAGUCGUAAGACGAUGUAUGGGGGCUGACGCCUGCCCAGUGCCAGAAGGUUAAAGAAGUUGGUUAGCAUUAGCGAAGCUGAUAACUGAAGCCCUGGUGAACAGCGGCCGUAACAAUAACGGUCCUAAGGUAGCGAAAUUCCUUGUCGGGUAAGUUCCGACCCGCACGAAAGGCGUAAUGAUUUGGAGGCUGUCUCGGAGAGGGGCUCGGUGAAAUAGACUUGUCUGUGAAGAUGCGGACUACCUGCACCUGGACAGAAAGACCCUAUGAAGCUUUACUGUAACUUGAGAUUGAAAUUGGACUUUAUCUGCGCAGUAUAGGUGGGAGACGUUGAAAAUAUUCUUGCGGGAAUAUAAGAGUCAUCAGUGAGAUACCACUCUUAUAAUGUUAGAUUUCUAACUUUGUAUCAUUAUCUGGUCAAAGAACAGUUUCAGGCGGGCAGUUUGACUGGGGCGGUCGCCUCCUAAACGGUAACGGAGGCGCACAAAGGUUUCCUCUGAACGUGUAGAAAUCGUAUCUAGAGUGUAAAGGCAUAAGGAAGCUUGACUGUGAGACCUACAAGUCGAGCAGGGACGAAAGUCGGUCUUAGUGAUCUGACGGUGCUGAGUGGAAAGGCCGUCACUCAACGGAUAAAAGUUACUCUAGGAUAACAGGCUGAUCUCCCCCAAGAGUUCACAUCGACGGGGAGGUUUGGCUCCUCGAUGUCGGCUCAUCGCAUCCUGGGGCGGUAGUACGUCCCAAGGGUUGGGCUGUUCGCCCAUGAAAGCGGUACGCGAGCUGGGUUCAGAACGUCGUGAGACAGUUCGGUCCAUAUCCGGUGUAGGCGUUAGAAUAUUGAGAGGAGCCUUCUUUAGUACGAGAGGACCGAGAAGGACAUACCUCUGGUGUACCAGUUAUCGUGCCAACGGUAAACGCUGGGUAGCUGUGUAUGGAGAGGAUAACCGCUGAAAGCAUCUAAGUGGGAAGCCCACCUCAAGAUAAGUAUUCUCAUCACGUAAGUGAGUAAGGUCACGGUAAGACUAACCGUUUGAUAGGCAUUAAGUGUAAAUGUAGUAAUAUAUGAGCUGAGAUGUCCUAACAGACCGAGGACUUGAAU